GGGCGCACGCGCGGGGCGGGCGGGGCGGUCACGUGGCGCGGACACCGCUGCCGCGGGCGCUCGGGCUGGCCGGGCACCCUGGCACGUGCGGCCGCGGCCGCAGGUAAAUAGAUGGGCUGGAAGGAGGAUUGGCCCGCCGAGUCGCCAAGGGGACCUUGGCCGCAGUCCCUGGCUGGAUGCCGCGGAACCUCAGGACAGUUGCAUGUGCUCUUUGGGUGCGAGAGGGGACGGCCUGCCCCUUUGCCCAACACUGUCUCUUCCUUGGGUCUGCUGCCAUCCUCACCGGACUUGGGUUCCUGCCCCGAAUUCCGUGGAGUCCCUCAGCCAUAGCUGCUCCCAUGACUAGAUGGUCCUUCACCUAGUCUCUUCUCUUCUGGACUCUUGUCUCUCCUGGCAGGUGCCCCCUGCCCUUGAAGCCCUCAGCUCCUUGCCUCCUCCUCAUGCCUUUCCCGGCCCCAGGCUGCAUUCCACCCAGUUUCUCUCUCAGGAUCUGAGAGGAACUUUUUUCCUUUUCUGUGUUUGAAUGCUCCCAAGUAUUGAUUACUUCAUCCUGACUUAUGUGUGUCCCCUCCCCGCUAGGACUGGGCUCCUGGAGGCAGGCACUGGAGCUACAGAACUGCUGGGCUCCCAGGAAGCAUUCAGUGUGUGACCCUGGCACUCCCUCCCAUGCCCCCUCUGUUCCAGCCACAGGCUUUGUCCUGUCUCCUCACCCAAAGUUCUGCUGGCUGUAGCUGGUGUUCAGAGCACAGGGGGACCUGCCCUGGCCCACCUGGCCAGCCUCAAGUCCCCCUGGGGGCACGGUGUGGGGAGGGGCCUUGGUGCCUGCUCAUCCUUCCCCCUUCCUGGGACCCCACCCAGGGUGGCAUGUUGGAUGCUGAGAAAGGGGCUUGGGUGGGGAGAGGAGAGGCCAGGAAUGGAGGAGACAGUGUUUGAGCUGGGGCAAAGAGUGGUAUCCAGGCCCUUACUGGUAACAGAUGGGGAACAGGCCAGAGUGUCUUGUCCUGGGUGCAUCCCUGUGGGUGGUCAUGCAUGCACACACGUGUUCUUCAGACAAGCUCGGACUGGUGAGAGUUAACAGCACAGUAGCAGGAGUUCAACAUCAGCAGGAACUCUCCCAGAAAGUCAACCAAAGAGACAAAAGGUGGGGGAAGAGAAAAUAAAGGAAAGGAAAAUGGAUGGAAGUUGUCCAGGAAAUAAUGGGAUAGUGGAGCCAGAGCCUCCAAACAGCUAGGACUCCACAACUUGUUCAGGGACUCAGGUGUCCUGGGACCACUAAGGGCUUUCAGGUCACAUUCCAAAGGAUCAGGAAGAAAGCCAAGCUUCCUAGGAAAAGUGAUGGCUGACCCCAAGGUCCAUAUCAAGAGGGAGGAGAAAUCAGGAUGUUUCAGGCCGGCAGGUCAUCACAGAUUAGCUUAAUAUACUGCAGGAUGCACUCCAGCAAAAAAAGGGAGUAAGUAAAUGAAGAAACAGGUGCUGCGCUAGGAAGGUGAGUUAUGUGGGGCUGGAUGAUCAUCUGAGGGGUUUGACUGAGGCCACUGAGGGUGUGAGGGGAACCGAUCAUCAGAAGCAGACUAUGAUUUUAAAAGAAGGCUGUCAGGCAAGAAAUGGACAAGAAUGGAGAGAGAAGGCGGAAUGGCGACUGUGGGGCCUUGAUUUCAACAUGCAGUUGGAGACACCUGAACAAUGACCUGCUGUAUGUACAUGUGGAUUUGUUCACGAUGGCCCUGUGGUGAUGUGAUUUAAAAGUCCUUUUAAUAAAAAAUAAAAGUCCUUUUAGAACUGCAA
Molecule: long non-coding RNA, 1785 nt
Organism: Bubalus bubalis (water buffalo)
Lineage: Eukaryota; Metazoa; Chordata; Mammalia; Artiodactyla; Bovidae
Exons: 2
Source: RefSeq, a predicted model, not a curated record